CUUAUAAAAGGACCAGUUCAGCUCCCUCUUGCACUCACUCUCUCUCUGUUUCUCACUCUUUCUUUGCCCUUCCACUAUGGGACGACACAGCAAGUAGGCCCUUGCCAGAACCUGGAGCCCUCCAGAACGGAAGAAGAAAGUACUGUUCAAAUCAGGGACUUGACUCCCACAAGACUCCCACAAGAGCCCGGAGUCUUAAGUGGACAAUGAGCCGUUUAAAACCAUGCACAGGCCAGUCGCGGUGGCUUAGCCCGUAAUCCCAGCACUCUGGGAGGCCAAGGAGGGCAGGUCACUUGAGGUCAGAAGUUCGAGACCAGCCUGGCCAGCAUGGUGAAACCCCAUUUCUAGUAAAAAUACAAAAAUUAGCCGGAUGUAGUGGUACGCAUUUGUAAUCCCAGCUACUUGGGAGGCUAAGGCAGGAGAAUCG
RNAcentral lists this long non-coding RNA (427 nucleotides) under Homo sapiens (human). RNAcentral's name for it is "HSALNT0238333". The record is from RNAcentral. Lineage: Eukaryota; Metazoa; Chordata; Mammalia; Primates; Hominidae.